This 432-nucleotide ribosomal RNA is filed under the name uncultured bacterium. Its description in RNAcentral is "bacterial SSU rRNA". It matches the Rfam family "Bacterial small subunit ribosomal RNA", at positions 29 to 506 of the family's 1533-position model. The record is from RNAcentral.
ACGAACGCUGGCGGCAUGCCUAACACAUGCAAGUCGAACGAGAUCUUCGGGUCUAGUGGCGCACGGGUGCGUAACGCGUGGGAAUCUGCCCUCAGGUUCGGAAUAACCAUUGGAAACGAUGGCUAAUACCGGAUGAUGACGUUAAGUCCAAAGAUUUAUCGCCUGAGGAUGAGCCCGCGUAGGAUUAGCUAGUUGGUGUGGUAAAGGCGCACCAAGGCGACGAUCCUUAGCUGGUCUGAGAGGAUGAUCAGCCACACUGGGACUGAGACACGGCCCAGACUCCUACGGGAGGCAGCAGUGGGGAAUAUUGGACAAUGGGCGCAAGCCUGAUCCAGCAAUGCCGCGUGAGUGAUGAAGGCCUUAGGGUUGUAAAGCUCUUUUACCCGGGAUGAUAAUGACAGUACCGGGAGAAUAAGCUCCGGCUAACUCCGU